RNAcentral lists this ribosomal RNA (161 nucleotides) under uncultured bacterium. RNAcentral describes it as "partial 16S ribosomal RNA". It matches the Rfam family "Bacterial small subunit ribosomal RNA", at positions 355 to 507 of the family's 1533-position model. The record is from RNAcentral.
UAGGGAAUCUUCGGCAAUGGGGGCAACCCUGACCGAGCAACGCCGCGUGAGUGAAGAAGGUUUUCGGAUCGUAAAGCUCUGUUGUAAGAGAAGAACGUUAGUAAGAGUGGAAAGUUUACUAAGUGACGGUAUCUUACCAGAAAGGGACGGCUAACUACGUG